UGCUAGUUGCCGAGUUUAGACUCGUAGCAUAUAGCUCAGUAACACGUGGCCAAACUACCCUACAGACCGCGAUAACCUCGGGAAACUGAGGCCAAUAGCGGAUAUAACUCUCAUGCUGGAGUGCCGAGAGUUAGAAACGUUCCGGCGCUGUAGGAUGUGGCUGCGGCCGAUUAGGUAGAUGGUGGGGUAACGGCCCACCAUGCCGAUAAUCGGUACAGGUUGUGAGAGCAAGAGCCUGGAGACGGUAUCUGAGACAAGAUACCGGGCCCUACGGGGCGCAGCAGGCGCGAAACCUUUACACUGCACGACAGUGCGAUAGGGGGACUCCGAGUGUGAGGGCAUAUAGCCCUCGCUUUUCUGUACCGUAAGGUGGUACAGGAACAAGGACUGGGCAAGACCGGUGCCAGCCGCCGCGGUAAUACCGGCAGUCCAAGUGAUGGCCGAUAUUAUUGGGCCUAAAGCGUCCGUAGCUUGCUGUGUAAGUCCAUUGGGAAAUCGACCAGCUCAACUGGUCGGCGUCCGGUGGAAACUACACAGCUUGGGGCCGAGAGACUCAACGGGUACGUCCGGGGUAGGAGUGAAAUCCUGUAAUCCUGGACGGACCACCA
This 608-nucleotide ribosomal RNA is filed under the name uncultured Haloarcula sp. RNAcentral describes it as "bacterial SSU rRNA". It matches the Rfam family "Archaeal small subunit ribosomal RNA", at positions 52 to 662 of the family's 1478-position model. The record is from RNAcentral. Lineage: Archaea; Methanobacteriati; Methanobacteriota; Halobacteria; Halobacteriales; Haloarculaceae.